UAUGUGAUCGUCUCUCCCAUAUCAAUAAGCGGAGGAAAAGAAACUAACAAGGAUUCCCCUAGUAACGGCGAGUGAGGCGGGAAGAGCUCAAAUUUGAAAUCUUAAAGGGUUUCCCUUUACGAAUUGUAGUUUAAAGAAGUGUUUUCUGUUGAGGUUUUGGUAAAAGUUCUUUGGAAUAGGACAUCAUAGAGGGUGAGAAUCCCGUAUUUGACCUUUACUUUCAACUUUGUGAUACACUUUCAAAGAGUCGGAUUGGUUGGGAAUGCAGUCCAAAAUGGGUGGUAAAUUUCAUCUAAAGCUAAAUAUUGGCGAGAGACCGAUAGCGAACAAGUACCGUGAGGGAAAGGAUGAAAAGGAACUUUGAAAAGAGAGUUAAACAGUACGUGAAAUUGUCAAAAGGGAAAGCGUUUGACACCAGUGUUGUUUUUCUGAAAAUCAAUUAAAGAACUGUUUAUGCUAAGUUGUUUAGACUUUAUCAGCUAACUGUUUAGUUUUGAGCUUUUCUUUAAUGCACUUUUCAGUUAACAAGUCAACAUCAAUUUCUUUUGCUGUAAAAAAGCUUGAGGAAGGUGGCUUGAGAUUCGUCUUAAGUGUUUAUAGCCUCUUGCCUAUGCAGUCGGAGAGAUUGAGGUCUGCAGCGUAGAUCCUUCGGGGCUAAAUGCAUUUGUGCUAAGUUAUAGCAUUUUAUAGACAACUCGUUGACUAUGAUUUGUCUUGUAGCUUACUCGCUUAUGUUAUUUUACCUACGCUUAGGAUGUUGACACACGCGCGUGCUCG
Molecule: ribosomal RNA, 777 nt
Filed under: uncultured Neocallimastigales
Lineage: Eukaryota; Fungi; Neocallimastigomycota; Neocallimastigomycetes; Neocallimastigales
Description: partial large subunit ribosomal RNA
Rfam family: Eukaryotic large subunit ribosomal RNA
Source: RNAcentral